This 440-nucleotide ribosomal RNA is filed under the name uncultured bacterium. RNAcentral's name for it is "partial 16S ribosomal RNA". It matches the Rfam family "Bacterial small subunit ribosomal RNA", at positions 338 to 795 of the family's 1533-position model. The record is from RNAcentral.
CCUACGGGCGGCAGCAGUGGGGGAUAUUGCACAAUGGGGGAAACCCUGAUGCAGCGACGCCGCGUGUGGGAAGACGGUCUUCUGGAUUGUAAACCACUGUCCCCAGGGACGAAAAUGACGGUACCUGGGGAGGAAGCUCCGGCUAACGACGUGCCAGCAGCCGCGGUAAUACGUAGGGAGCAAGCGUUGUCCGGAAUUACUGGGUGUAAAGGGAGCGUAGGCGGGGAUGCAAGUUGGGUGUCAAAACUACCGGCUCAACCGAUAGUCGCACUCAAAACUGCAACUCUUGAGUGAAGUAGAGGCAGGCGGAAUUCCUAGUGUAGCGGUGAAAUGCGUAGAUAUUAGGAGGAACACCAGUGGCGAAGGCGGCCUGCUGGGCUUUUACUGACGCUGAGGCUCGAAAGUGUGGGGAGCAAACAGGAUUAGAUACCCGGGUAGUC